CAGCCACCUAGUCCCUCCAGAUGAGGGUCUUCAUCUCUGGAUCUAAAGGUUUCCCUUCUGAGGCCCCAGACCCAGGUGGAGGGUCUGCAGUAAGACAGAAUAAGAUGUAGGAGGGAUGAACAACUGAGAUACUCAAGUUCAACCUCUAACUGGGCAUUGAGACAUCUUCCUGUCUCCUUAGAUGGUGGCAGUCACUGGAGACCUGACUUAAAGGGUCCAAGAGCUCCAGUUAUGAACAACAAUGACCACCACCACCAUCUCCCCAUUUCUAAGGGCAUUGCAAUUUCUGGAUGCAAUGCUGGAAUGGCUCCAUCCAGCAGCCUGAAAAGGGGCACCAGUCCAGUCAGAAAGGCAGAGCAGAAAAAUGGACCUUGAUGACAUUGUUGAUCAGCUGAAUCACUCAACGCUAAAGUUUGUUUGACCUCAGAACUUCCCAGUAUGUAGGAUAAUAAAUUUCAUGAUUGCUUAAUCUGGGGAGCAUGGAGAGAAAGAGAGAGAGAGAGAGAGAGGG
Molecule: long non-coding RNA, 511 nt
Organism: Odocoileus virginianus texanus
Lineage: Eukaryota; Metazoa; Chordata; Mammalia; Artiodactyla; Cervidae
Source: RefSeq, a predicted model, not a curated record